Long non-coding RNA from Cavia porcellus (domestic guinea pig), 630 nucleotides. RefSeq lists it as uncharacterized. Lineage: Eukaryota; Metazoa; Chordata; Mammalia; Rodentia; Caviidae. The transcript has 5 exons. The record is from RefSeq and is a predicted model, not a curated record.
GACAGUUUUUCCUGCUCAUGCACACGUGCAAACCCCAAAGGCUUCGGGUUUAGCAGUAAAAGCACGCAGGCUAAUCGGCCCGUUUGUAACUUACUUUCCACUUCAUGGUAUCCUUUCGGAGGCUCAAGAUUUUCUGUGUCAGGCCAGGGAUUUAGCUCAGCGAUAUUGGGUAGGCUGUGGCCGCCCCAGGGGAAGAACCACCAGCAACUCUUGAGAUCUGCACCAUGUUGGAACUUAGGGUGCUGGGAAACCAAGCAACCCACUCACCCCCCUGGAUGUCUGUUGCUGCCCCAUGAAGAGUCAGACGUCGGAGGAGCCUUAGAAGCUUAUCAUCCUCCGGUGGAUCCAACCCUGGAGUCCGCAGGAGAACUGCCCGAGGCCUCAAGACACUGCAGACCCUUGAGCCUGUGUGGACCGCCUGUAGUCUAGCUACUCAGCUCGCUGAGGCAGGAGAGCUGCGGGGGCCCAGGAGCUGGAGGCCAGCUCCAGAAUGAGACCCUGGACAACAAAGUUGCACAAAAUACAAAAUACUUCAGCCGGGUGUGGUGGUGCAUGCCUGUAAUUCCAGCACGCUGGAGGCAGAAGGACCAUUGUGAGUUUGAAGCCAGCCAGGGCUACCUGGUAAGGCCC